Molecule: ribosomal RNA, 779 nt
Filed under: Hoplolaimus pararobustus
Lineage: Eukaryota; Metazoa; Nematoda; Chromadorea; Rhabditida; Hoplolaimidae
Description: partial large subunit ribosomal RNA
Rfam family: Eukaryotic large subunit ribosomal RNA
Source: RNAcentral
UUGUUUGGGAUCGCAGCCCAAAGCAGGUGGUAAACUUCAUCUAAGACUGAAUAUGGCUACGAGUCCGAUAGCGAACAAGUACCGUGAGGGAAAGUUGCAAAGCACUUUGAAGAGAGAGUUAAAGAGGACGUGAAACCGGUGAGGUGGAAACGGACAGAGCUGGCGUAUCUGGCCUGCAUUCAGCCUUGGAAUUUCUGGCGUUGCGGUGUUGCUCUCCAGAUUGGGACAGCAUUGUAUCUGUUGGGGAUUCCGUGGUGCAUUUGCAGGUGGAGUGCGCUGAGGCGCCUGAGACAGCGGCAUGAGCUUGGGUCUGAGGCCAGCCUUGCAAAAGGUCUGGUACCCGUGCCGGGGGAGUGCUGUUUAUUUUGGGUGGGAUGGGCAAUGGACUCGGGCUCGCGUGGGUGCCGAGCUGGCAGUCGGUGGCGGUCGCGUGCGACACGUGCCAGCGGUCAGUUCGGUCCUGCUCGAGCUCUCACAGCCCGUCCUCGGUGUAAAAGGCAGUACAUCUGUCCGACCCGUCUUGAAACACGGACCAAGGAGUUUAGCGUGUGCGCGAGUCAUUGGGUGUUGAAAACUCAAAGGCGAAAUGAAAGUGAAGGUGUCCCUUGUGGAACUGAUGUGUGAUCCUGGUCACUUCGGUGCAUCCGGGCGCAACAUAGUCCCGUCCUGACCGCUUGCGGUGGGGCGGAGACAGAGCGUACGCGCUGAGACCCGAAAGAUGGUGAACUAUUCCUGAGCAGGAUGAAGCCAGAGGAAACUCUGGUGGAAGUCCGAAGCGA